This 512-nucleotide small RNA is filed under the name Pan troglodytes (chimpanzee). RNAcentral's name for it is "processed transcript". Lineage: Eukaryota; Metazoa; Chordata; Mammalia; Primates; Hominidae. The record is from RNAcentral.
AUUCCUCUGGGGCCUGCGAGCCCGCCAUGAGACCAGCAAGAUGAGGGUCCUGAGAUUCAUCGCCCAGAAUCAGAACCGAGAUCCCCGGGAAUGGAAGGCUCAUUUCUUGGAGGCUGUGGAUGAUGCUUUCAAGACAAUGGAUGUGGAUAUGGCCGAGGAACAUGCCAGGGCCCAGAUGAGGGCCCAGAUGAAUAUCGGGGAUGAAGCGCUGAUUGGACGGUGGAGCUGGGAUGACAUACAAGUCGAGCUCCUGACCUGGGAUGAGGACGGAGAUUUUGGCGAUGCCUGGGCCAGGAUCCCCUUUGCUUUCUGGGCCAGAUACCAUCAGUACAUUCUGAAUAGCAACCGUGCCAACAGGAGGGCCACCUUCUUCUCCUGGAUCCAGCACCGUUGACGAACUGCAGCGAUCUUACUGGCCAAGCCAGAGCGCCUCCUCUCAGAUUCCUUCUCGACACAGCACCCUAGGCGGCUUCUUCCUGUCAGUCGGAGGUGGCAUGCAAGAUGAAGCUCUC